Molecule: ribosomal RNA, 497 nt
Filed under: uncultured bacterium
Lineage: Bacteria
Description: partial 16S ribosomal RNA
Rfam family: Bacterial small subunit ribosomal RNA
Source: RNAcentral
GAUGAACGCUGGCGGCGUGCCUAAUACAUGCAAGUCGAGCGGACGGACGAGAAGCUUGCUUCUCUGAUGUUAGCGGCGGACGGGUGUGUAACACGUGGAUAACCUACCUAUAAGACUGGUAUAACUUCGGGAAACCGGAGCUAAUACCGUAUAAUAUUUUGAACCGCAUGGUUCAAAAGUGAAAGACGGUGUUUCUGUCACUUAUAGAUGGAUCCGGGCUGCAUUAGCUAGUUGGUAAGGUAAUGGCUUACCAAGGCAACGAUGCAUAGCCGAACUGAGAGGGUGAUCGCCCGCACGGGAGCUGGGCCGGCGACAAGGGUACUAAGGGAGGGAGCAGAAGGCAACGGUACGCAGUGGGCGAGAGCAUGACGCAGCAGCGCGGCGUGAGUUGUGAAGGUCUUCGGAUCGUAAAAAUCGGUUAUUGGUGAAGAACCUAUGUGGAAUUAACCGUGCACAUCGUGACGGUACCUGAUAAGAAAGCACCGGCUAACUACGUG